GCUAGGUGUCAUGGCUCACACCUGUAAUCUCAACACUGGGAGGGUGAGGCAGGAGGAUCACUUGAGGCCAGGAGUUCAAGGUCGGCUGUGCAACAUGACGAGAUCCUGUCUUUAAAAAAAAAAAAAUUAGCCAGGCGUGGUGGUGUAUGCAUAUAGUUCUAGCUACUUGGGAGGGUGAGGCGGGAGAAUCGCUUGAACCCAGGAGUUCAAGGCUGCAGUGAGCUAUGAUCAUACCACUGCUCUCCAGCCUGGGCAACAGAGUGAGACCUUGUCUCU
RNAcentral lists this small RNA (276 nucleotides) under Pan troglodytes (chimpanzee). The record is from RNAcentral. Lineage: Eukaryota; Metazoa; Chordata; Mammalia; Primates; Hominidae.